GAGGGUAUAGCUCAGGUGGUAGAGUGCUUGGUUAGCAUGCAGGAGGUCCUGGGUUCAAUCCCCAGUACCUACU
Transfer RNA from Camelus ferus (Wild Bactrian camel), 73 nucleotides. It matches the Rfam family "tRNA". Rfam says of the family: Transfer RNA (tRNA) molecules are approximately 80 nucleotides in length. NCBI's taxonomy places the organism in Eukaryota, Metazoa, Chordata, Mammalia, Artiodactyla, Camelidae. The record is from Rfam.